This 98-nucleotide small nuclear RNA is filed under the name Moschus moschiferus (Siberian musk deer). The record is from RNAcentral. Lineage: Eukaryota; Metazoa; Chordata; Mammalia; Artiodactyla; Moschidae.
GUUGUCUUUGGAAACACAUACUAAAAUCGGAACAAUAGAGAUUAGCAUGGCCCCUGAACAAAGAUGAGGCACAAAUACAUAAAAUGUUAAAAAAAAAA